Long non-coding RNA from Cydia pomonella (codling moth), 662 nucleotides. RefSeq lists it as uncharacterized. The record is from RefSeq and is a predicted model, not a curated record. The transcript has 2 exons. Lineage: Eukaryota; Metazoa; Arthropoda; Insecta; Lepidoptera; Tortricidae.
AUGACGUUACCUAGUCUGACAGAUGUUUCAGUAAACAAACACAAAUGAUCUAGUUAUGAAAUAAAUUCUUAAAGCCGUUUAUCAUAGAAAACUGUGACCAUCCAAUGACUAACAGACAAAAAAAUCAAGCUCAAACAAAAUAAAUAAUUAAGUUCCAAGGUCGUAAUGCUCGCAGCCCCUUUCGCCAAUGCUCAUAAUACAAAUAUACCUAACUCAAUACCUCCAUAAUAUAUAUAUUUAAGGUUUAUUAGUUUGCUGUUGAGGACAUAUCACUUAGUCGACAGAAUGGAUUGCACUUCCUACGAGAAAUUCCGUAAGUGGCAAAUAGCGUAUGCAAAAAAACUACAGAAAAAAGCAGAGCAAAGAGAAAAGAGAGGUACAGAGGAAGAAAACAAAUAUAAACAGGAGUUAAAAGAAUUGCAAGAUAAAAGUGCUAAAAAACUACAAGCGUUAAGAAUGUCUCUCAGAAAAAAUACGAACCCUCGAAUUGUCACGGUGAACCAGUGUGGUUGUAAACAACGCCAACGGUGCUGUCUUAUGCAUUGUUGCAGUUUGAUUUCUUGCGGCGUUUUUUGGGUCAUCGUCGCGUUUGCGAUCCAUAGCGCAUAGAGUCAAAUAUGUAGUACCUAAGUAGUGUUUCAAAUAUUAAAGAGUAAAUCAGA